Labrus mixtus (cuckoo wrasse) is the source of this 5204-nucleotide long non-coding RNA. RefSeq lists it as uncharacterized. Lineage: Eukaryota; Metazoa; Chordata; Actinopteri; Labriformes; Labridae. The record is from RefSeq and is a predicted model, not a curated record. The transcript is spliced from 3 exons.
CAUGAUAGAUUGCAGGCAAAAUUCAGGCAUACUCAAGAAAAUCUUUUGGAAAAGGAGAAGACAAAUGCGAGAGCACAUGUGCCUGCCUAUAAAUGUGUGUGUGUGUGUGUGUGUGUGUGUGUGUGUGUGUGUGUGUGUGUGUAAGUGUAUGUUUAUGUGUCUACAGUAGUGCAUCCAGGUCCAGCUCCGGCAAAGCCUCCUUCCAAUAAGAGAAGCUGCUGUACUCAGGACAGUCCAGAGCGAAGGACAUGCUGCCCUCCACAGACAGCAUGGGAAAGAAAUGUUCCACCAGCUCACUUAGAUGGCUGUACCUGCAAAACACACACACACAUGAAAACUUAAGACACAUGUGUUAGAGAUUGUAGGUUUGUAAAAGUGGGUUCUGUGACAGUCUAGUCAUUUUAAAAGUUGUUUUGGAGUUUCCUACAAAUAGUUGAGAUUGUUCAGGCUGCAUAUGAACGAUACUGAUGAAAGUGGAUAAACUUCAGCACAUCAGUUUUUUGUUUGUUGCAAAAUUACCAAACCCAGUGAAAUUGAAUGCAGUCAAUUAUUGUGUAAAGUCCAUUACUUCUUAGUUGGGCACAAACACUCGUAUCAGUCAUAGGUUCUUUUUUUUUUGAUAUGACAGAAUUAUCAAAGUCUUUUAGAGUUUUUUUAAAGCUUAAAAAGAGAUUGUUUCGAUCUUUAUUGUUUCACACUUACGAGGACUUGUUGCCUUUCGUUUUCUCCUGGAUGAGCUCUCCUUUCGGGUUGACAGUAAAUAAUCUGGUGUCAGGCACCCCGACCUGCUUAUAGGCAUAAGCAUCCUAAAAAAAAGAAAGGAAAAAUUGUCUCAUCGACCUUUGUUUUAUCUAUGUACACUAAAAAGAUUGUUCUUCUGUUACAGCAGUAAUCCAUGAUCAAUCAUUAGCCAGUGUUUACUUAUGAACUAGCAAACCCCAGACUUUACAGCAACAUUUCCUACACUUACUUCUAACUACUGGAGUAUAUUCAUGGAUGUAUAUGUGUAUAUGUUAAUAGGACAAGGAAAAACACGUAUAUUCUUAUUUAUUUUCUUAACAGUCCUUAGUGAUCAUGUACAAACCCUGAUGCAACAUCACACCUGGAAACCUUGACUGAAAACACAUUUGUGUCUCUUUUCAGAGCCAGUUUUACAGCAUUGCUUACAUUAGUCCUGUUGCCAAAGGCUGCGUAGAAGGGCCGUCUCUGUGGGUUGAACAGGUCCCUGAUGUCACCGAGGCAAGCGAUCUUAAAAACCUCGGGCUUCUUCUCAAUAACUUCUCUGCAAAGUUUAGGACAGACAGUUCACAGUCAAAAGGGAAAUCUGUUUUAAAUGCUUGGCCCCUGUCAUACAUUUACAGUUCUAUUAUUCACAAAGGAAAAUAAUUUAGCACUUUUGUGUUCAAGAAGUGUCCACUAGAGGUCAGCAGUACACUCCAUUGAUUUUCAAACUCCAAAGACAUUUUCCUACAAACAUUUUUUUUAUGUUUUUUGAUGCUGAAUUCUAUUUAUUAUAUUGAUUAUUUCUAUAAAAGGAAACACAGUGAACUAAUAGCAUGUAAACAGUAGUUCAGUAUUAAGAUUCCUUACCUGUGUAGAGCUGAAAAGAGGCUGCUGGGGGCCAACAGCACAGGGCCUUUGGGGAGGACAGUGCCUUGAUCAUUAACCCACUGAAGGUAGUCCUUUGUGAUGGCAGCCAUGCCUAUGGCCCUGGCUGAACAAUACAGGAACUUAUAACCAUUUCUGCAAGGAAAGGGGCAACAACAUUUCAGGUAAACAAAUUGAUUCACAGAAAGAAAAAACUUACAGAAUUCUUCUGACAAGACAUUUGUGCUGAGACCUGUUUUCUUUUAGUAUUAGUGACAAAAGAUUAGCACUUCAAAUAAAAUCUAAUCUUUUUACAAUUAACUGAACAGCUGAACUCAUUAUAAAAGCCCAACGUAAAAUAAAAAGGCAAACAUCUGGUAGAGCAGAUUAGACAGACAUCUGCAAAAUCAGAAUGACAUCAUCUGUGGGAGAUAAAUUGGAUCUGUUUUGGCCUGUGAAAUGUUCGUAUUCCAUGUGGAAGUUCAGUAAGGGCGGAUACAAAAGGGAAAAUAACAAACUAAAUAAACACAUUUCAUGAUGACUUUCUGUUGUUUAAAAUGCUGGUAAUAUUUUUCUACACAUACUGGUGUAUUUUGUGGUAGAGUUUGGCGAUGCCUUUGUGAGUCCAGUCUUUUCCAAACUGAGGUAGAAUAUGACCCAGAGCGUCAGACCUGCAGGAGACAAGACCCCUCAUGAAACACGUUGCUGUUAAAGAUGCACUAUAGAGCAAUCAGGAACUCUGCUUAACUGGCUUUAUAUCAGAUUGUCUAAUGCACAAUAUAUGUCUGAUUUACUUUGUGAUGGUGCCGUCUAUGUCUGAUAUGAUGAUGCGAUCGUUCCAGUUCCACAGGUAGAUGGCAGCCUCACAGCGACAGGUGCCUUGGUACUGUGUGGUCACACUGAAAACCACUUUGUUGGCUCCUUCACGCAGGUUCAAGUGUUCCUGGUUGUGAGAAAAUGACAUGAUUAGCUUAGCGAAGAGAAAACAAAAGCACAAGGACAUGGUCAUCCUCUACAUACACUUCAUAGCACUAUACAAUUCUUAAUGUAGAUGUAUGAAUAUGUGAGCAUGUGCUUCUCUUACUAUCUGUUCAGAGGUCAGACGCAGUGAUUUGCGGUACAUCUGACUGAUGCACUGAGUGGCGCUGAGGGUUUCUGUUGAUAGGCUGACUGGAAGGGUUGCUUUUCUGCCGAGUCCAGCUGCCUCAUCACUGUCCACGUCAUCCAAUGUGGCUCUGGAGGAAAAGUGCACAUUUAAUUAACACACUAUUAUUCUUCCCUGUUACUGUGCCUCUAUUUAAAGACAUUAAAUACUAACUCACUGACACAGACACUGACUGAAAAUAAGAAAACCUUCAACAUGGCUCUAAGCAACCUCAUUUAAUGUGAAAUGGACGAUUUAGACAAAGCUCUGGCACCCUCUGGUGGCACUUGGGUAUCCUACAUGCUGAGACUUUGAAUUGAUUCAAAAGAAUAUCACGCUGCACCUACUCAAAAAUGAAACGAAAGCUAGUGCGUAUAGGUUCAGACUGACACAUAGAUAUGUUUCUAGGGCUGCAUUUGUUUUCUUUACUUUUUUCACUACAAUAUUGGAGAUCCUAAGAAUGUUAAGAAAUUCAGAUAUCAUUCAAGUGCUCACAAAAUACUUAAACGGACACUUGGAUGGAGCCAGUGGAAGUGAAUGAGACCUUACAUUACUCUGUCACUCCUGUGUGUGGCCUUAUUCAACACUUGUGUUUUAUAUAAUCAUUGGGGCAACAGACAAAUAGCAAAAAUUCUGUCCAAUUAUUUUUUUUACAUUUAUGUGAAUUAUGAAAAACAAUAAAUAAAAAGAAAGGACAGGCAAUCUUUGGAUUAAUCUUUCCAGCGAUGCUUCUCAAUGUCCUUAAGAACCCUCAAACAUUAAAAGUAGAAAGACAGCUGUUGAGCAGGAAGAUCAGAUUCCAGCUGAAACACAGCAUGUGAGGUUUUAUAAGGCAGAGUUUCUGUGUUAAUCACUUCUCAGUGAGAUGACUUACUUUACUGAGGAAGAUACACUUGCCAGUGGCUCAUCUUGCUCCUCUUUUGAGAUCUUCUGCUGAAAACAAGGUUACAUCUUCAGGUAUAUUCUCACAAGAUACAGUAGCAAUGAUGGUUUUUUUUUACAAACAGAACUUAUUUUUAUGUCACACAUGGAUUUAACAAAACUGCACUGAAAAAUAUUAUAAUUACAAUCAUUUCUAUUACAGGUGCAAACUGACUGUAGCUCAUCAAAACACAUUUGAUUGAGACUAACGGGGGUUCUAAGGAAGGUACCUGGUUGUUGUCCAUGUCUCUUCUCCUCCAGGAGAACCACCAGCGUCCACUCUUUUUAGGCAUCUUGUCUUUCAUCAGCCGGUCAAUUGUACCCUACAAUAGUAUUAAUAAUCAUAAUAAUAGAUUGGAUUUAUAUAGCUCCUUUCAAAGGACCCAAGGACUCUUCAGAUUUAGAAUUUAGAAGUAAAUUCUAAAUGUGAAAUAUGAGUAUUUCAAAAAGAUUUUUAAAAAUUAAAUACUAUAAUUUUACAAUUGUGAUUAAUCAUGAUUAAAUACAGUCUCUACUGUUAAUAAUCACAAUUAUAAUUUUUACUGAUUGACUGAACUAUUUAAUCAAUAUUUCUAAGGACUAAGGUAGGAAACGUGAAAUACCUUUGGUAGAUUUUUCUGGAAAGUUGUCAUUGACAAGACCAUUGGAGCAGCUGCUGCCCAGUUAUAAUAGCUGUGAAAGAUGAACAAUCAUUGACAUAAACACCAAAAUACUGACCAUUUUUAAUUCAUCUAGACGUACUGUACAUGCAAACAAUCAAACAUCAACAAAUAAUUUACAGUUGUGAUAGCAAAUCUUACUUGGAGUUGAUGCAGACUACAAGACUCAGAUCUUCAAUGAUUCCCGGAUUGUUGGCAAAAUCCUGGUAUGUCACGAUAUGCUCCAUGAACUUUUCUGAAUGAACAGAAAACUCAACACGGUUAAAUUACCUCACUGUGGCUCCUUUAAUCCUGCAACAUUGAAAAGCCACUCCACAACAGCAGCAGCGAUUCCCCGUCCCUUACCCUUAGUGAUCUGGCUGGUGUCGCCCUCUUGUCCACAGAGGGACAUGCUGACAUCCAUGUUGUAGGAGGUGGAAUCAGACAGAUACUCUGUCCCGCUGUCCAUGGCCCCGCUGCCCACAGACUGUGGGGACUGGCUCCCUGAGUAGGAACCCUGCUCGGCCCCAUGCUGAGAACCCCCCUCUGCCUCACUGCAGGGAACAAAGACACUCAAAUUCAAUCACUGUGGACAUUACUGACAUCAUUGCCUUUUAAUGUUUGUUUUGAAAAUAAACGAGUUCUUCUAAAUAGGUUUAAAAUGUACCACUUAUAUUGUAUGUUAUCAAUCUAAUCUAACAUACAUUCUUUUUUUUUUCACCUCUUAGGGAAAUAAAGUGCAGCCUUCUCCGGGUCCAACGUCCUCAGAUCGUCCAGAGGACACCUCAGAAGAAUUUGCUGAAGCCUCCACAGUAGUCCAACUGGUCGCGGCGUCUCUCCCGUCAGCUUUUGGUCCACGGUCCUCCUCCCCCUCUUCUGCCCAGGGAUAUAUCCCACUGUCCUCCUCACUCACA